ACCUCUGCUCCUGCCCCACCAG
This 22-nucleotide microRNA is filed under the name Mus musculus (house mouse). RNAcentral describes it as "mmu-miR-6934-3p". Lineage: Eukaryota; Metazoa; Chordata; Mammalia; Rodentia; Muridae. The record is from miRBase by way of RNAcentral.